AUUCCAAGUAUGGAGUUGGCUCAUGGCCACUGGGCGAAGGCUCGGUGGUCCUGAUCACUAAGGUGGAAGGCACCGCGCUAGGCUGGUUUCACAGAGCAGCGAUCACUUCCCUCUCUUGUCGGUGGAA
This 127-nucleotide non-coding RNA is filed under the name Daucus carota subsp. sativus. Lineage: Eukaryota; Viridiplantae; Streptophyta; Magnoliopsida; Apiales; Apiaceae. The record is from RNAcentral.